CAGUAGCCACGGUAAUACGUAGGUGGCGAGCGUUGUCCGGAAUUAUUGGGCGUAAAGGGCUCGCAGGCGGUUUCUUAAGUCUGAUGUGAAAGCCCCCGGCUCAACCGGGGAGGGUCAUUGGAAACUGGGAAACUUGAGUGCAGAAGAGGAGAGUGGAAUUCCACGUGUAGCGGUGAGAUGCGUAGAGGUGUGGAGGAACACCAGUGGCGAAGGCGACUCUCUGGUCUGUAACUGACGCUGAGGAGCGAAAGCGUGGGGAGCGAACAGGAUUAGAUACCCCUGUAGUCCCUGUCUCUUAUAA
Molecule: ribosomal RNA, 301 nt
Filed under: uncultured bacterium
Lineage: Bacteria
Description: partial 16S ribosomal RNA
Rfam family: Bacterial small subunit ribosomal RNA
Source: RNAcentral